UAUGAUCCUUUUCCAUUAAAUUUAUUUUAAUCUCUUACCUAAUGCUCAUUUUUGUAGGAAAAGUUUGAAAGGAAAGAUGACAAAUUCAUUCAAGUCAAAAAUAGAAGAAAUGUGAGCAAAAAGAAUAAAGGUCGAACUGUAGGACUAGAAAUCGACCCUUAGUUUCUGCAAUCGCGGCCUGAUGGUCAUGAUCACGUCCAGUCAAUAAGCCAGCAUGAGGGCAAUUGCAAAAUGACUACUGAGAUUGCAGCAGUCGCGAAUGGGGUCAAGGAUUGUUGAUCGUAGUUAAGCAGAAAAGAUUCAAGGGUAAAAUUGUAAUUCGUCUAAAGAGACCAAGAGCAAGGUGGCAUUUUUGUAAUAUUGGUCAAAUGUGGAAUUGGGGCUAAUUUAAGGGGUUUGGUAGCUUAUUCCCUAUCAUCCAUAAUUCCAUCACAUAUCUCCCAUCUUUUGUUUAGGGUUUUUGUAAUUUCUUGGAGGUUGGAGCAAGACUUGUACUAAUUUUGAGCUAACAAGAUAUUAGAGUGACAUUUAAGUGUAGAUUUGGCUACACCCAUUAAAGAUUCAUUGGAUUCUAAAAUGUGGUUUGCCCUCUCUUUAUUCUCUUAUAUAUAAGAUGGAAAUAUUUGUUUA
RNAcentral lists this long non-coding RNA (630 nucleotides) under Capsicum annuum. Its description in RNAcentral is "long non-coding RNA (CANN_LNC006930)". The record is from RNAcentral. Lineage: Eukaryota; Viridiplantae; Streptophyta; Magnoliopsida; Solanales; Solanaceae.